ACCUGCCCACUGAAAAUUUAAAUGGCCGCAGUAUAUUAACUGUGCAAAGGUAGCAUAAUCAUUAGUCUUUUAAUUGAAGGCUGGUAUGAAUGGUUGGACGAAAUAUUAACUGUUUCAGAUAAAUUUAAUAUAGAAUUUUAUUUUUUAGUUAAAAAGCUAAAAUUUGUUUAAAAGACGAGAAGACCCUAUAAAUCUUGAUAUUUUAUUUUAUUUUAAUUAUAAAGAAUGAUUAUAUUAAAAUAAAAUAAAAUAUUUUAUUGGGGUGAUAUUAAAAUUUAAUAAACUUUUAAUUUGUUAAAUCAUUAAUUUAUGAGUAAUUGAUCCAGUUAUACUGAUUAAAAAUUGAAGUUACUUUAGGGAUAACAGCGUAAUUUUUUUGGAGAGUUCAUAUCGAUAAAAAAGAUUGCGACCUCGAUGUUGGAUUAACAGAUACUUUUAGGUGUAGCCGCUUAAAUUUUAAGUCUGUUCGACUUUUAAAUUCUU
This 483-nucleotide ribosomal RNA is filed under the name Sapromyza inconspicua. Its description in RNAcentral is "partial 16S ribosomal RNA". It matches the Rfam family "Bacterial large subunit ribosomal RNA", at positions 1857 to 2597 of the family's 2925-position model. The record is from RNAcentral. Lineage: Eukaryota; Metazoa; Arthropoda; Insecta; Diptera; Lauxaniidae.